Long non-coding RNA from Oreochromis aureus, 1987 nucleotides. The record is from Ensembl. Lineage: Eukaryota; Metazoa; Chordata; Actinopteri; Cichliformes; Cichlidae.
CACAGAGCUGCUGAGGAUCCAGUUCGCUCACAUAUUUCAAAAGCCUUAAGAAGAGAUAGAAGGGUUUCUUAUCCAGCAUUAGUGUCUGAAUCUGGAAUCAUUUCUAUGGAAACUGGACGUCUUUUUAGACCUUAAAUUUAUUCUCAGGUAGUCAGGUUUAAACUCAGGUUCAGUUAUUCACUGGAAAUUCAAACAGACUCAGACAUUUAGAACAAACUAAGAACCUCGGUGCUGGAGGAAAUGUCUGCCGUGACUGCAUCACUCUGCUCAACUUUGCUGUUAGUCAACCUCUGCAUGUUUACCUCUGCAGACCGGAAAAUCAUCACAGCUGAGUCUGGACAGGACGUCACUCUAAUAUGUCGAGUUACAAACAACAACAUCAUAGGAGCUGUAAAGUGGACCAGACCAGGCCUGGAGACAGGAAAUGUCCUUUUGUACAACGAUGAUUACUUUGAUUCAUCCAACCAGCAUCCAUCUUUUAAGAACCGGGUGGAUCUGCAGGACAGACAGAUGAAGGAUGGAGACGUGUCUUUGAUUCUGAAGCAUGUGACGAUUAAUGACACUGGAACAUACGAGUGUCGUGUCUUCAUGGAAGAAACACGCUCAUGGGAGCUCAUCAGGAUCAUCUACCUGAGAGUUGUUCCUCCAGGUCAGCCAAGAGGAGUCACAGAGGAUGGAGGGAAGAAGGAAGAAGGGAAGAAGGAAGGAGGGAAGAAGGAUGAAUCUGUUGGACUAAACAAUCUACUUUUCCUGGUAGUUUCUGCUGUGCCCGUUGUUGUUAGUGGUAGUAUUACUGUUGUUGUUGGUAUUAUUUUUCUUCCUGUUUUUAUGAUGUGCAAAUAUUGUAAUGACAAGGGUUCAUACAAGGUACCUGAACGUGAUUACAUCUAGUGAUCAACUAUCCUACAUUCAUCGGCAGAUUAAUUUAGAUGUCAGACAUUCAGAAAACACAAACACUGUAUGUGAUGAUCUGGGUGUAGAUGAAGUUCUGUGGCUUAUAUGUGAUCAACAAUGUGCCUGAUAAUGUUCAGGAUUGAUCAGCUAUGACUGAAUGACAUUUGGGACAGUUUGGGAAUUAUAAGGGUCGUAUAAAGAAGUGUUGUUGUUUUUUUUAAAAAAAAUCUUGGUCUAAAAUAUGAACUCUGUGUGACAAUCCCCUCUUUAGGUGAAGGUUUUUUGUUUCCUUUUUUAGUGAAUAAGCUUGCAUAAUUGUUUCAGUCAGUCCAGUAAGGUUGAAUCUUAUAGAGUGUUUAAAGUGUUUUAUGAAAGUGAAGCUCCAUGUAGUUUCACACUGACACUUUUCUCUCUCUAAUCUCUUGAUAACCUCUUAUGUAACUUUUCUUACAAGAAAGCUAUAUAAUAAUUUAUAUUAUAAUUGCAGCAUUGCUUAAACUUUUCGUUUUCAAUUAAUAUUUACAUGUAAACCAAAUGAACGUCCUUUUUGUACAUAUUUUUGUGAUGUAUCGUGAUGUGAAAUCUUUUAUUUAUUUUUAAUGAGAAACUGAAGUGUAGCAGAGAUCUUUGUGAGCUUCUCCCUGUAAUAACCUGGUAACAACAAUAAAAAUAAGAACAAAAUGUUAAAGUGGAUCAAAGUAUGAAAGAUGACUCAAUUUUCAGCAAUAACUCUCAUCUGUUCUCUAGUUUUGUUUCUACUUUCUCCAGAAAAUGUUAUUUGCUGCAUUGAUUGACUUCAGAGAUGAUUCCUACUCAGAAAAAAGAAAGUGUUUAAGAAAUUUUCAUAACCAUUUAAGUUGGUUUUCCACUUCUUCUGGCGUGAAUAUGAAUAUAUUCUUCACUGCAGCAGCCUAGUAGGCGUGAGAAGCCAUUUUUGUUGAUUAAGUUUUCUCCUGUUUUUCAUUUAGAAAGUUAGCUAAGUGAAUUGUCUUUUGUUUGGUUUUCAUUUUGUGUAGGAAAGCGUAGGGACCAUAAGGGAGUUUUGUUUGUUAUUUUCGGCACUGCUCACUGCUGAAGCAAAUAAAUGGCUGCU